UUGGAAUUCGAAUCUGGAAGCGUUUACACGAAGCUUGAGAUGCAUAGAGACUAAAUAUACCAAAAUCGCAGUCUAAAUCUUUCCAAAAAAUGCCAAAUCGCAUUAGAAAAUAAUCUACUCCAGUAAGAUGAAACUAUGGCUGCCGGCAAGGAUAACUGGCAGAGGGGGGCUAGUCUUAAGGUUUUGAGGGGUGGAGAAUCGAAAUCCAGCGUUAGUUUGGCCAGAAAACACCAGUAAGAGGCUGAAACAAUAGAGGCAGCAUGUGAUGUCCUCCUUCUCCUUUGCUCCAAUGAUUUCCCGGCAAGAAAAUAAAGGGGAAAGGGUCGUGAGAAGAGAGGGAGGGAGGGGCAAUUGGUUCGUGAUAUGGAUGGCAAAAAUGGAGGAAAAUAGUG
Molecule: long non-coding RNA, 392 nt
Filed under: Ricinus communis (castor bean)
Lineage: Eukaryota; Viridiplantae; Streptophyta; Magnoliopsida; Malpighiales; Euphorbiaceae
Description: long non-coding RNA (RCOM_LNC003090)
Source: RNAcentral